This 658-nucleotide ribosomal RNA is filed under the name uncultured bacterium. Its description in RNAcentral is "bacterial SSU rRNA". It matches the Rfam family "Bacterial small subunit ribosomal RNA", at positions 614 to 1279 of the family's 1533-position model. The record is from RNAcentral.
GUAGGAACGGCCAUUGAUACUGUUAGGCUUGAAUUAUUAGGAAGUAACUAGAAUAUGUAGUGUAGCGGUGAAAUGCUUAGAGAUUACAUGGAAUACCAAUUGCGAAGGCAGGUUACUACUAAUGGAUUGACGCUGAUGGACGAAAGCGUGGGUAGCGAACAGGAUUAGAUACCCUGGUAGUCCACGCCGUAAACGAUGGAUACUAGCUGUUGGGAGCAAUCUCAGUGGCUAAGCGAAAGUGAUAAGUAUCCCACCUGGGGAGUACGUUCGCAAGAAUGAAACUCAAAGGAAUUGACGGGGGCCCGCACAAGCGGUGGAGCAUGUGGUUUAAUUCGAUGAUACGCGAGGAACCUUACCAAGGCUUAAAUGUAGAUUGACCGUUUUGGAAACAGAACUUUCGCAAGACAAUUUACAAGGUGCUGCAUGGUUGUCGUCAGCUCGUGCCGUGAGGUGUCAGGUUAAGUCCUAUAACGAGCGCAACCCCUGUUGUUAGUUGCCAGCGAGUCAAGUCGGGAACUCUAACAAGACUGCCAGUGCAAACUGUGAGGAAGGUGGGGAUGACGUCAAAUCAUCACGGCCCUUACGCCUUGGGCUACACACGUGCUACAAUGGACGGUACAGAGAGCAGCCACUACGUGAGUAGGAGCGAAUCUACAAA